This 98-nucleotide ribosomal RNA is filed under the name uncultured bacterium. RNAcentral's name for it is "partial 16S ribosomal RNA". It matches the Rfam family "Bacterial small subunit ribosomal RNA", at positions 1384 to 1482 of the family's 1533-position model. The record is from RNAcentral.
UACACACGCCCGUCACGUCAUGGGAGUCGGUAACACCUGAAGUCGUUGAGCUAACCGCAAGGAGGCAGACGCCCAAGGUGGGACUGGCGACUGGGACG